RNAcentral lists this ribosomal RNA (293 nucleotides) under uncultured bacterium. RNAcentral's name for it is "partial 16S ribosomal RNA". The record is from RNAcentral.
GGACUACCGGGGUUUCUAAUCCUGUUCGCUCCCCACGCUUUCGCUCCUCAGUGUCAGUACCGGCCCAGACCACCGCCUUCGCUACUGGUGUUCCUCCUGAUAUCUGCGCAUUUCACCGCUACACCAGGAAUUCCAUGGUCCCCUACCGGACUCUAGCCAUGGCAGUAUCGGGUGGCGACUCCAGGUUGAGCCUGGAGGUUUCACACCCGACUAACCAAGCCACCUACGAGCUCUUUACGCCCAGUGAAUCCGGACAACGCUCGCCCCCUACGUAUUACCGCGGCUGCUGGCAC